UGGUGAUGAGGACAAAACUAUAGAGGAUAUUCUGUGAUUGUUUUAUACGCUAUUCUGAACCACAA
This is a small nucleolar RNA of Lineus longissimus, 65 nucleotides long. RefSeq annotates it as small nucleolar RNA U54. The record is from RefSeq and is a predicted model, not a curated record. The transcript has a single exon. Lineage: Eukaryota; Metazoa; Nemertea; Pilidiophora; Heteronemertea; Lineidae.